GACGAACGCUGGCGGCGUGCUUAACACAUGCCAGUCGAACGGGCCUUGUCCCCUUUUUUUUGGGGGUGGGGUUAGUGGCGAACGGGUGAGUAACACGUGAGUAACCUGCCCCUCACUUCUGGAUAACCGCUUGAAAGGGUGGCUAAUACGGGGUGUUCUGGCCUGCUCGCAUGGGUGGGUUUGGAAAGAUUCGACCGGUUUUGGUUGUUUUGGUGGGGGAUGGGCUCGCGGCCUAUCAGCUUGUUGGUGGGGUGAUGGCCUGCCAAGGCUUUGACGGGUAGCCGGCCUGAGAGGGUGGGCGGUCACACUGGGACUGAGACACGGCCCAGACUCCUACGGGAGGCAGCAGUGGGGAAUAUUGCACAAUGGGCGCAAGCCUGAUGCAGCGACGCCGCGUGAGGGAUGGAGGCCUUCGGGUUGUGAACCUCUUUCGCCAGUGAAGAAGGUCCUGCUCUUUGUGGUGGGGUUGACGGUAGCGGGGUUAAUGAAGCGCCGGCUAACUACGUG
Molecule: ribosomal RNA, 507 nt
Filed under: uncultured bacterium
Lineage: Bacteria
Description: partial 16S ribosomal RNA
Rfam family: Bacterial small subunit ribosomal RNA
Source: RNAcentral